RNAcentral lists this ribosomal RNA (1344 nucleotides) under uncultured bacterium. Its description in RNAcentral is "16S ribosomal RNA". It matches the Rfam family "Bacterial small subunit ribosomal RNA", at positions 28 to 1378 of the family's 1533-position model. The record is from RNAcentral.
GACGAACGCUGGCGGCGUGCUUAGCACAUGCAAGUCGAACGGAAAGGCCCUGCUUUUGUGGGGUGCUCGAGUGGCGAACGGGUGAGUAACACGUGAGUAACCUGCCCUUGACUUUGGGAUAACUUCAGGAAACUGGGGCUAAUACCGGAUAGGAGCUCCUGCUGCAUGGUGGGGGUUGGAAAGUUUCGGCGGUUGGGGAUGGACUCGCGGCUUAUCAGCUUGUUGGUGGGGUAGUGGCUUACCAAGGCUUUGACGGGUAGCCGGCCUGAGAGGGUGACCGGCCACAUUGGGACUGAGAUACGGCCCAGACUCCUACGGGAGGCAGCAGUGGGGAAUAUUGCACAAUGGGCGGAAGCCUGAUGCAGCAACGCCGCGUGCGGGAUGACGGCCUUCGGGUUGUAAACCGCUUUCGCCUGUGACGAAGCGUGAGUGACGGUAAUGGGUAAAGAAGCACCGGCUAACUACGUGCCAGCAGCCGCGGUGAUACGUAGGGUGCGAGCGUUGUCCGGAUUUAUUGGGCGUAAAGGGCUCGUAGGUGGUUGAUCGCGUCGGAAGUGUAAUCUUGGGGCUUAACCCUGAGCGUGCUUUCGAUACGGGUUGACUUGAGGAAGGUAGGGGAGAAUGGAAUUCCUGGUGGAGCGGUGGAAUGCGCAGAUAUCAGGAGGAACACCAGUGGCGAAGGCGGUUCUCUGGGCCUUUCCUGACGCUGAGGAGCGAAAGCGUGGGGAGCGAACAGGCUUAGAUACCCUGGUAGUCCACGCUGUAAACGGUGGGUACUAGGUGUGGGGUCCAUUCCACGGGUUCCGCGCCGUAGCUAACGCUUUAAGUACCCCGCCUGGGGAGUACGGCCGCAAGGCUAAAACUCAAAGGAAUUGACGGGGCCCCGCACAAGCGGCGGAGCAUGCGGAUUAAUUCGAUGCAACGCGUAGAACCUUACCUGGGUUUGACAUGGAUCGGGAGUGCUCAGAGAUGGGUGUGCCUCUUUUGGGGUCGGUUCACAGGUGGUGCAUGGCUGUCGUCAGCUCGUGUCGUGAGAUGUUGGGUUAAGUCCCGCAACGAGCGCAACCCUUGUUCACUGUUGCCAGCACGUUAUGGUGGGGACUCAGUGGAGACCGCCUGGGGUCAACUCGGAGGAAGGUGGGGAUGACGUCAAGUCAUCAUGCCCCUUAUGUCCAGGGCUUCACGCAUGCUACAAUGGCUGGUACAGAGAGUGGCGAGCCUGUGAGGGUGAGCGAAUCUCGGAAAGCCGGUCUCAGUUCGGAUUGGGGUCUGCAACUCGACCUCAUGAAGUCGGAGUCGCUAGUAAUCGCAGAUCAGCAACGCUGCGGUGAAUACGUUCCCGGG